RNAcentral lists this unclassified non-coding RNA (429 nucleotides) under soil metagenome. Its description in RNAcentral is "partial contains 5.8S ribosomal RNA, internal transcribed spacer 2, and large subunit ribosomal RNA". The stretch from base 1 to 120 matches the Rfam family "5.8S ribosomal RNA", at positions 35 to 154 of the family's 154-position model. The record is from RNAcentral.
GAUGAAGAACGUAGCGAAAUGCGAUACGGAAUGUGAAUUGCAGAAUUCAGUGAAUCAUCGAAUCUUUGAACGCAUAUUGCGCUCUUUGGUAUUCCGAAGAGCAUGCUUGUUUGAGUAUCAGUAAACACCUCAAAGUCUUUUUUUCUUGAAGAAAAAGACCUUGGACUUGAGCAAUCCCAACUCUUCUUUCAGAAGAGGCGGGUUGCUUGAAAUGCAGGUGCAGCUGGACAUUCUCCUGAGCUAAAAGCAUAUUCAUUUAGUCCCGUCAAACGGAUUAUUACUUUUGCUGCAGCUAACAUAAAGGGAGUUUGACCAUUUUGGCUGACUGAUGCAGGAAUUUCACAAGAGUCUUCAAAACGCUCUUGUUAAACUCGAUCUCAAAUCAAGUAAGACUACCCGCUGAACUUAAGCAUAUCAAUAAGCGGAGGA